GCGUAGGUGACAGAGCGGUCAAAUGUAGCGGACUGUAAAUUCGCCGCCUUCGGGCUACGCAGGUUCGAAUCCUGCCCUACGCA
RNAcentral lists this transfer RNA (83 nucleotides) under bacterium. RNAcentral's name for it is "tRNA-Tyr". It matches the Rfam family "tRNA". From Rfam's summary of the family: Transfer RNA (tRNA) molecules are approximately 80 nucleotides in length. Their secondary structure includes four short double-helical elements and three loops (D, anti-codon, and T loops). The record is from RNAcentral.